This 383-nucleotide ribosomal RNA is filed under the name uncultured eukaryote. RNAcentral describes it as "partial 18S ribosomal RNA". It matches the Rfam family "Eukaryotic small subunit ribosomal RNA", at positions 592 to 976 of the family's 1831-position model. The record is from RNAcentral.
CAAUAGCGUAUAUUAAAGUUGUUGCAGUUAAAAAGCUCGUAGUUGGAUUUCUGGUAGGAGCGACCGUGCCGAACUUGAUUGUUCGAGUAUUGUGUUGUCUUCAGCCAUCCUCGUGGAGAACUUUUCUAACAUUAACUUGUUGGGAUUGGGACCCGCGUCGUUUACUGUGAAAAAAUUAGAGUGUUUGAAGCAGGCAUUAGCUUGAAUACAUUAGCAUGGAAUAAUAAGAUAGGACUUUGGUACUAUUUUGUUGGUUUGCAUACCAAAUUAAUGAUCAACAGGAACAGUUUGAGGAUAUUCGUAUGAACAUGUCAGAGGUGAAAUUCUUGGAUUUUGAUCAGACGAACUACUGCGAAAGCAUUUAUCAAGGAUGUUUUCAUUAA